CAUGCAAGUCGAGGGGCAGCAUGAUUUGUAGCAAUACAGAUUGAUGGCGACCGGCGCACGGGUGAGUAACGCGUAUGCAACUUACCUAUCAGAGGGGGAUAGCCCGGCGAAAGUCGGAUUAAUACCCCAUAAAACAGGGGUCCCGCAUGGGAAUAUUUGUUAAAGAUUCAUCGCUGAUAGAUAGGCAUGCGUUCCAUUAGGCAGUUGGCGGGGUAACGGCCCACCAAACCGACGAUGGAUAGGGGUUCUGAGAGGAAGGUCCCCCACAUUGGUACUGAGACACGGACCAAACUCCUACGGGAGGCAGCAGUGAGGAAUAUUGGUCAAUGGCCGAGAGGCUGAACCAGCCAAGUCGCGUGAAGGAAGAAGGAUCUAUGGUUUGUAAACUUCUUUUAUAGGGGAAUAAAGUGGAGGACGUGUCCUUUUUUGUAUGUACCCUAUGAAUAAGCAUCGGCUAACUCCGUGCCAGCAGCCGCGGUAAUACGGAGGAUGCGAGCGUUAUCCGGAUUUAUUGGGUUUAAAGGGUGCGUAGGUGGUGAUUUAAGUCAGCGGUGAAAGUUUGUGGCUCAACCAUAAAAUUGCCGUUGAAACUGGGUUACUUGAGUGUGUUUGAGGUAGGCGGAAUGCGUGGUGUAGCGGUGAAAUGCAUAGAUAUCACGCAGAACUCCGAUUGCGAAGGCAGCUUACUAAACCAUAACUGACACUGAAGCACGAAAGCGCGGGGAUCAAACAGGAUUAGAUACCCUGGUAGUCCACGCAGUAAACGAUGG
Molecule: ribosomal RNA, 770 nt
Filed under: uncultured bacterium
Lineage: Bacteria
Description: bacterial SSU rRNA
Rfam family: Bacterial small subunit ribosomal RNA
Source: RNAcentral